CGCGUUCGGUUGGAUCCGCUCUACCCAAUUCCAAAUCCGAUUCCGCGAGAUUUCUGGAGAACCCGGUUUGGUGCAAUUUGAACUCGAAACGCCUGCGUUAUUUUGGUUUCAAGAAAUUUAAUUUUCGGUUGUCAGUGCUAACUUUUUUAGUUUUUUAACAAAAACAUAAUUGUGAGAAAUCUAAAAACUUGUUUUAAAAUUUCUGUUGGAUUUACAUACGCUUUUGGAUUUUCCUCCCGGGCAGACCCCUGAAGGAUAAAAGACGACUCUAUCACGUGCCGAAGCUACAAGUUGUUGAGAAGUCGACAAGACCCGAAGACCCCAAAAAAAAGCCGUCAAAAACAGAAACAAACAAAAACCGCUGGCUGAGUUGGCCCGUUUAUCGAGUUGGCAUUUCAUUUACCUGACUCGCGUUACGUGGUGCGGUUCGGUGUUUCGGCGGUUCAGCGGUUCGUCUUCUGCCCGCCAAAAAGAAAGUCACGACACAAGAAACGAGAUUUCCAAGAUUCUGCAACGAAAGUCAAAGUUACAAGUUUACUCCAAAUUCAAGUUGGUUUUGUUUUUUUGGAGGCCCGGUUCAACGUCUUAAGGCCUUUUUGGACCGUCUGUGUGUGUAUUGUAUAUGUGUGUGUGUGGUGUGUGGUGUGUGCCACUUUAGAAAGUGAAAAUCGAGAGCAGUCUGGGGCGCUGCAGUUGAAAGUGAAUUUAUUUUUCUGGACGGGGGUCUCGAAUCGAUUGGAAAUUCAUCAGUAGCCCUAAAGAUUUCGGCUACUUGAAGCCCAUUACAUUUCAUUCAUCGGCAGGAGGGCCCGGCUAAGAAGUGCACCUCAGAGAUGGAGGCCGAAGAAGUUACAAAACUCGUCGAUGGCGUUUACCGGAAUAUACUCGAUAGAUUCAAUCCGGGUGCCAGGCAACUGAUCGCGGCGGGCAAAAGUUACCUCAAGGCGUUGCACGGUGCUGCAACCGCCUCGCGUCUAUUCAAUGAAGCAUUGGCCAAGAUUGCGAUGAACGCCCAACAGAGCGGAACGGGCGAUAUUGGUUCGGCUUUGAUGAGCGUUGUGAAUGUCAAUAAGGAAAUUCAGGAACAGCAAAUGAAUAUUCUAAAAGCCUUCUACGUGGAUCUAUUGGUGCCAUUGGAGACAAAUCUGGAGAAGGACACAAAGGUGGUGCAGCACGAGCAGAAGAAGUUCCUGCAGCAGCACAAGGUUCGCAUGGAGAGCUACCAGAAAGCCGUCUCCACAAUGAAGAAACAGCGCAAGAAAAAGGCCACACCCGAGAAUACCGAAAAGGAGCUGAGGAGCCUGCAAGUGCUGGAGGAUCAGAAGAAGAAACUGGAUGUGUUCUGUGAUCAGAGCUAUAAAAAUGCCAUGACACAGGAGCGACGUCGGUAUGGAUUCGUAUUGGAGCGCCAGUGCUCGAUCGCCAAACACUGGAUGGCUUACCACACCACCGGCAAGACGGUAAUUGAUAAUAAUUUCGAAAAUUGGCAAGAGAUCGCCGCAUCUCGUGAGAUCAUUCCCCCGGCUGCUUAUGAGAGCGGCUAUGGUAGCAGCAACGGUCACAAUACCAACACCAACAACAGCAGCAACAUGCGUCGCCUGGAACGAAUCAAGGACGGCGAUGAUGAUCCGAUCCAGGGCCUGGGAGCUCAGCUGAAGAAGUCGCGUAGUAUCGAUGCCCCCUAUGGGGAUAUGCGCACCCUCCACGAGCGCGAAAAUAUGGGUGGAGUUGGGUCGUCGCACUAUGCCCAGAAUUCGCUGCCACGUGCCAAGUCCGACUUUAAUCUGGCGCUGGUGGGCUCUGGCCCCAGUUCCGGUGGCAACAAACACAAGAUCAUUGAGGAGCAGUUGGCCACACUGGGCGACGACCAGCGAGGUGACCAGCGUCCACUGGUGAAGGCUCUUUACGCCUACAUGCCCUCCGGAGAGAAUCAGUUGUCCUUUGAGGAGGGAGACCGCAUCGCCCUGGUGGGAGGGAAGGCCAAGGGCUGGCAGUUUGGAGAGAAUCUGCGCACCCAGCAUUUUGGCUGGUUCCCGGUAGCCUACACCAAUGCCGAGUCCGUGGAGGCCAGCUCUUCUGCCGUCGGACGGCGGUACGAGAACAUGCUAAUGAGUUAUGAGCGAAAUGGAGGAGGAUCUGGAUCGGGUUCGGGCGGUGGGCUGCGCAGCUAUCAGUCGCAGCAGCAGCAGGACUACGAGGCUCAGCUGGAGCUGAUGGAGAACCACGAGGCCACCUACCGGCGGCGUCGCAACCACAGUGCCGAGGAAUCCUCACCCACUCGCAUGUUCGGGGACACAAUCAAGCAGCAGAAGAAGUACCGCUCCGGCUCCGGAGCCAAUCCGCGACCAGGACCCCCACCCACACUGCCCGCCCCCGUUCCCAAUGGACAGCAGUCAUCGUUCCGGGUGCUGAACAGUUCCCAGAGUUUCUGUGCCACCAAUGGAGGCGUCACAUCGGCGGUGGAGCGACGCAAGCAAAAGCUUCUAAACGGAGUCCAGAGCCAUCCGUCUGGCAAGUCCGGAGUGGCGGCCAAGACCUCGUUGCACAGCAGCAACGACAGUGGAUUCGCCAAUGAGCCACCCCCACAGCCGGAGGUGGACUACUCCGAUGAGGAGCCAGCGACCCAGAGGGUGCCCAUUCGCCGACGCGGCAUAUACCGCAACUACUCCAUAGAUUACUGACCAGUAGCCAGUCCGUGUAUCCCAGGUAGCCCCACCUUUCCCCGUAUUAGGUUGCAAUGCCACCACCCAGCCUCCCAGUUCGCCACGGUUAAGUUGCGCCACACAAAGACCAACGAUCGAUCCGCUCCGAUGAUCUACCGGAGUGUGAACAAGU
Molecule: unclassified non-coding RNA, 2835 nt
Filed under: Drosophila ananassae
Lineage: Eukaryota; Metazoa; Arthropoda; Insecta; Diptera; Drosophilidae
Description: GF25247
Source: RNAcentral